RNAcentral lists this long non-coding RNA (7123 nucleotides) under Homo sapiens (human). RNAcentral describes it as "HSALNT0250901". Lineage: Eukaryota; Metazoa; Chordata; Mammalia; Primates; Hominidae. The record is from RNAcentral.
UGCCUCUACGCUUUAAUUAAGCCUGCUGCCCAAUUUUAACUCAUUAGUAAUUCAUUAAGAGAACAGCCCCGUGCUGGCUGGUGGAAGGCACCGCAGACCGACUGUGCACGAAGUCCACACGCGCGCAGACCGCCGCCGGCCCUCGCCUUGCGCGUGAGCGAGUCAGGUUUGCGACCCAGUGACGUUGUUCUAGUCCAACAAGACUAGAACCCCCGCUCUGCCAGACACACUGGGCUUUGCAGGUCCAAGCUCCCGGGAUAACCUUUCCCGGCUUGAGUCCCUCGGGCUUGAAACGUGGUUUAGCAAACCUGUUGGGUGGGGUGGCGGUGGUGUGGGGCCGGGCCACAGUUGAGAAGCAAAUCCCCGGGUUAAAAGAGCUUCUCUUGCCUAAGGCCAGAUCCAGUCGCCCGGUGUGGCACGUAUCCACCCUCCUUCCCUGGUUCUUCUUUCAUUUUGCGACAGUCUCAUGAAAAAUCUAAGUUCGGCCUUAGCUCUCAGCUCCGGCUACCCUCUGCACGCUCCCCGACCCUGUACCCGGGAGAAGCUUCUGUUCAAAUGAGACUGAUUUUUUGCGUGGUGGGGAGGUGAGGGGAGAAGAAAACUGUUGGCUAGAGAGGUGAAUAUCUGAAGGGAGAGCACAGACCUCUGCUUUUCCCUCUUUCUCACUCUUCUCCUCUGCUUGGGAGCGGGGCUGGGGUUAAGGCCACAUCUGUAACUAUGUCAGUUGAGACCAGCCCUCUGUCAGGAAAAGAAAUGGAGACAGCGUUGCAGAGCGAAUCACUCAUGGUCUUUCCAUUUCAUAAUCGAGGGAGACAGCGCAAGCAGGUCAGACUCGACCGGUUCGCUUCCUCCCACCCCUAACUUGGCGGGAUCUGAGAAGAAAGUUCCCGCAUGUUUGAGCGUCCUAGGGCUUGGAUAGGACAGACCUCGUAGGUCCCCAAGCUCCAGCUUGGAGUUCCCAAGGAGAAGGGAAGCGCUAGUGCUAUGGAGCGAGGUUUUGGUGAAGAAAAGGGCCUCGCGCCCCCUUAGUGCCGUCGCUCUGGGGAAUCUUCUUUCGCUGGGAGGAUGAAUGGGGCGCUCGCCGCGGCUCAUGGCGCCCCCUAGGAGCGGCAGGAAACUUCUCCUGCAGGGCAGCGCGGGCCGGGCUCCGCCUCCGGAAGGCGGGCGGGGAGGGUAGUUGCUGGGGGUCCCUAGGCCGGGCCCCAGGACAUCUAGGACAUGCCGGGGGCUGUUUGCUACGGCUUCAUCCCGGAGCUCCUGCUCGGGGUUGCCGGCUGCCUCUGCUGGCGUCCCUCUUCCCUUCCUUUGCGUAAGCGGCAACUCCUCCAGGAAGCCAGGGGAAGGACGGGAUUUCCUCUCCACGUAGGGUAGUAGAUCGCAUAGCCCAGCCGGAUCGCCCAGCAGGAGUGCAGGGCGCGCGUCGGGGUGUCUCCGGCUUGUGGGUGUGCGGUUCGAAACCUUAGCUGGGGUGGGGGAAGGGAUGUCUUUAACCUUCUGUCUACCGUCCCCCUCUUCCCUCUCUCAGCCUAGAGGCAGGGGAUGCUGCGGAAUCAGACUGGGUGCACCAAGGCGGAGGGCCAUGCCGGGCUUCGCCCUUCCUGGGUGUCCCGGAGUCCGUUCCGGAGAAACCCUGGCAUUGCCAGAACUGGGUCCCCGCACUCACUCCUCCAUAAUUCGCGGCGGAUCAGCGGGAGGAGGGCAGAGGGCGGGGGCGAGGCAGCUUCCUGGCGGGUGUGGCGCAAAGUGUGCGGGGUGUGGCGCAAAGUGCGCGGACCCGGGUCCUGGACCGAAGAUUUAGCCCAGGGUUUCGUGUGUGUUGCUCCCUGUUGCUUUCUACGGGGUCUGCGCUGGCCUCCUCCUCGGGCGACUGGGCCCUGAGGCAACAGCGCCUUCUCGAGCCCCGAGGAUUGACCGCCCCGAGCCUGCUUGGAGCAGGGCCUCUCUCCAGCGCGGUGUGAUGAAACACCAGCUGCUGUGAAGAUAUACCCUUAGAAACGAACCGUCUGUUAAUAUGCUUAUGAAAACAGGGGCUCAGAGAGGAUGUACUUUUCUCAAGACCACACAGCUGGAAAAAAACCAUUCUUCCAGGAGAGGCUCCUCCAAGCAAACUUCCCCUUACAUCUCUUACCAGAACUGGGUCACAUGCUCCCAUCUAAAACAACCACUGGCCAUUAGAAAUGGUGUUACCAUGCCUGUCUUGGACCAAUCACAUUUGAUCCUCUGAGGAUAGAGACAUGUUGCCACCUGAACAACUGUGGGGUGCUGUACUCCUGGCAAGCAGGGAGAAUGGCUGUGGCUAGGCAACUGACAGCAUCUACCACAAAUAUGUUACUCAGAAGAAGAAUCGAGGAUGGCCAUAAUUUUUAUUUAAAGAUUUCUAUUUUACAGAGGCAUAUCUGAUUAAGGGACAUUUAAACUUCCCUGUUAAACUUAUCAAGACAAAAAGACAAGGCAUCUUGCCACAUUUCUUAAAUAUUCUCUGCAGUCUCUCUUGACCUUUUCCCAGCUGUGCUGUAAACAUAAAGAUAAUAACAUAUCUGAAUAACAUUUUAUGGUGCACAGAUAAUUUUCACAUACAUUAUCCAUUUGACCCUCACCAUAACUGUGUGGGGUAGGUAAGGUACGAUUGUACUUUUCAUUAAUUUUUUUUUUUUUGAGACACAGUCUCGUUCUGUCACCCAGGCUAGAGUGCAGUGGUGCGAUCUGGGCUCACUGCAACCUCCACCUCCCAGGUUCAAGUGAUUCUCCUGCCUCAGCCUCCAAGUAGCUGGGAUUACAGGCAAGUGCCACCAUGCCUGGCUAGUUUUUGUAAUUUUUUAGUAGAGACAGGGUUUCACCAUGUUGGCCAGGCUGGUCUAGAACUCCUGACCUCAGGUGAUCCACGUGCCUCGGCCUCCCAAAGUGCUGGGGUUACAGGCAUGAGCCACUGCUCCUGGCCACUUUUCAUUAAUUUUUAUUGGACUUAGGAUUAGAAGGAUGAGCAAAUCCUACUACUUAGUGCGUGGAAUACUGGCAUCUAUUGUUUUUGCUUGGCUCCUCUCUUGUUUUAAUAAUUAACUAAUCGAUCCAUUCUCUUUUAUUGCCAUCUCCCACUCACACUUUUUCCUCCACAUAGGCAAUCAUUCUAAAUAUGUCCAAUGUUUAUCUUAUUUGUAUGCGUAUUUAUAAAGUGAAUAUUUUGUUUAGUGUGUAUGCAGUUUCGUUUGCAUAAAUUGUAAUAUUCUGUGAAUCUCAUUCUGUUUUGUACUUUUUUCAUUCUGCUCUGUUUUUAGAAGUGAUCCAUGUUGCUAUGUGUAUCUACUCCAUUGCCUUUAAAUGCUGCAUAAUACUCCACGGUGUUUGUCGAUCAUGUUUUACUCAUCUUUGCCCCCUAGUGGAAACCAUGAUGGCCUCCAACUCUGCACACAAAUAGUUUCAAACAAGAACCGCUGGUGAAAUGUGACUGCUGAUGGACCUGGGUGGGAAUUUCUCUGGGAUGCCGACUAAAAAGCAUGGUGGCUGGGUCAUAAAAUGCACACUUAAUUUGAAUAAGUGCCACCCAGUGGCUCUCCACAAAGCCUGCACUAGUCCAUUCUACUAGAAAUUAUUCACAUUUAACUGGAAACUGGGUCUUGGAGAUGUUAAGUAACUUGCUCAAGCUCACAUAAGGAGUAAAAGUGAAUUAGGACAUCCAGGACCCAAAUCCAGGCCUUGUAACUUCAGGUCAAUUUUAUUUUCCAGGGCACCACCCUCUAAGUCUCUGGAUCAUAAUAUGGAGCACUAAUAAAAAGAUUUCUUGAGGCUUUUGUUAUUUACAUAAUGAAUUUCAGAAAUGGCUUACUGGUGCUACUGGCAAGUUGCAGGCAGAAGAAAGAAUGAAAGCGAAUGGGCAUCUCAUGUUCUAUUCUCUGAUUCAACCUGUUUUGGGUCCCUUUUGACUGCUUUACCACAGUUGCUAUUACAUUAUUUUGGGAAGUAUUUAAAAAAGAAGAGAAAGUGCUGGAUAUCUGAACUCCUUUCCUCCAGUCUGCCAUGGGCCAAAAUGUAGUACCACCAUGCCUGACUAGAAAGUAAAAGAGGAAUCAUAGAAUCAGAUAGUGUUAUAACCAGAAUGGGCCUUACAGACCAUUUAGUCUAGUCCUCCCAUUUUAUAGAUGAGAAAAUGGAGGCCCAGAGAGAGGAAGACAGUUGCCUGAGGUCACACAGCUGGAAGGAGAGCAGGAUGGGCACCCAGGCUUUCUGAAAACCAGUCUCUUUGAUGCAGGUGAACCCCCACAUUGGGGCUCAGCUCAAGAGGGUUCUUAGCUUUGCUCAGGAAGGAAUUCAAGAGUGAGCUGACAGUUAAAGAAAGCAAGUUUUUAGAGCAAUAGUGUACAGCAAAAUGGCUGCUCCACAGACAGAGCAGGGCCAUCCCAUAGGCAGAGUAGCACUUGUGCAUUGCUGGCUAGCUCUAUUUAUAGCUGCUCCUAAUUAUAUGCUAAAUAAGCGGUGGGUUAUUCACAGAUUUUCUAGAAAAGGUGUGGGGAAUUUCCAGAACUGAUGGUUCCUUCCUCUUUAAACCAUGUAAGGUAACUUCUGGGUUUUGCCAUGACAUCAACUGUCAUGGUGCUGGUGGGAAGUGUUUUACAGCAUGCAAAUGUAUUAUAAUUCCUAGUCCUAACUGCUUUUGGCUGGUUCCUUUGCUACAUCCUGUUUUGAUCAGCAGUGUCAUGAAAACAAGUCCUGUUCAUCUCCUACCUCUCCUUGCCCUUUCCACUUUUCUGCACACAGCAACUUUCACCUGCGCACCCAGGAAUCCACACUUUAAGUCUUAACAACCUGAGGUGUUGUUGAGAAAAAACUACAAACAGUGGUGCGCUGGCAAAUCUUUAACAAUCACCUGGGGUGGGGUGGGGUGUGGAUAAACAAGCCUUAUUUGUAGCAUAUGGCCAAUUUCAAGCUGCCAAAGUGCUGUCACUGAACGUGAAGUAGUGGGAGCAGGGCAGCAGAGGGCCACCAAUCAGAGGCAUUUCCACCAAACAGAUGCAAUUGGCAUAAGUAACUGCAAGGGCACGGACAACCGCAAGGUCUGCUAAAAGGAUUAGGAAGUGAUGAGUUUUGAGUGUUUAUUACUUUUGGUUUUAGUGUAACUUAUUUGUAAGCUUACAUAAUUUAAUGUCUAAUAAGGGCAAUGUUUAACAAUCACUCAUGAAAUUCCUGAAAAUUGAACUGAUACGGUUUGGCUGUGUCCAAACCAAAUCUCAUCUCAAAUUGUAAUCUGAAUUAUAAUCUCCACGUGUUGGGGAGGUAUCUGGUGGGAGGUGAUUGGAUCGGGGAGGGGGGGAUUCCCCCACGAUGUUCUCAUGAUUGUGAAUGAGUUCUCACGAGAUCUGUUGGCUUUAUAAGUGGUGGUUUCCCCUGUUCUCGCUCUUUCCUGCUGCCUUGUGAGGAAGGUACUUGCUUCUCCUUUGCCUUGUGCCGUGAUUGUAAGUUUCCUGAGGCCUCCCCAACCAUGCAGAACUGUGAGUCAAUUAAACCUCUUUUCUUUAAAAAUUACCCAGUCUUGAACAGUUCUUUAUAGCAGUGUGAAAACGGACUAAUACGUGAAUACUCAGCUCUCCUGAGCUUAUGCGAGUCAGCCCCAAGACAACAUUGGCUAUAAAGGAAUGAAGCCAGCUUCUCGGUGUAGCAACCCGCCUUCCUAGUUUAUAAACUUGUCCUGAUUCUUCUGCAUACUCUUUGGUGGAAACAUAAAAUAUGAAUAUAGUGGAAAAGAGGGGCAAAAGAUAAAUGAGUUAUUCUGGAGAUAAACUUUCUGUGUAGUGGAAGUCUUAGCUCUGUAAGCUCCGAAGCUAUGAUGGUUUUAACUUUUAUUGAUGAACUUUGAAAAGAGUUGUGUUGCAUUCUUUCCUACCUCAUUACACGUGAGACAUUAUGGCUUAUUACUUUUUUAUGAAGAACCCAGGACAUGUUGAAGUGUGCAAAUCUAUUUUCCCUUGGAAUACAUGACCUCAAACUGCUAGGCUGUUGGGGCCUUUGGACUUGCUUUUUAGAGUUUUGCUUUUUAGAGUUUUUUUUCUUGCUCACUUUCCAGAAGCUCUGACUUCUUUUUACUGUCAGUGUGUCUGCCUCUAUCUUUUCCCUCCUCUUUCUAAUUGACUAGAGAACUAGACUUAUUAGAAUCAUUUAAAAAUGUCAGUAAUCUGUUGCAAUACAGGCCUAUUGAGAAAAACAUGUAAAUUUUAGUGCAUGGAUCUUGCGAUAUUUAUUUUGGAUGCUCAGAUACCUUUUGCAAUAACUUCUGGUUUUUGUAGAAUUUCUGGAGAGGUGAUAUUACUAGAUUACUGUGUUUCAGAUCAGUGAGUAUUGCUACAGUAAUGUUGUUAUAUAUAAUUAUAUACUAUAUCACCAUGCAUGAAUUCCAUUAUAAGAGGAAAAUUCAUCUCUGGGCCAGGAAAUAUGUCAUGUAAAAAGUAGAGCAGUCCUGGACUGUAUUUUGAGGAACCCAGUAACACUACUGGAACAUGAAGUGGUCCAUAUGGUGAACUUUGCAAAAUACAGUAAGACUUAAAUGGUCAAGUUUGGGGCAUGCCUCCUUGCUCUAAAAAUGGUGGUGCUUCGUCUCCUUAAACACAGACACAGGCAAUGGAUGGGGAAGGGAGAUCCAGUGAUUGAGAGUUUUCCCCUGCUGGAGGCAGGGAGGUCCCUCCACACAUCUGCCCAUCCUGGGAGUGCUGCUUGCUGGGGCUGAGAAAGGAAGUAGAUUGCACCUGGCAACCUGGCUCUGCCCUUCUCUGUGACAUUGGGACCACCAGAAAGGUUCUUGGUAUGAUUUGGAUUUGUGUCCCUGCCCAUAUUGAAUUGUAAUCCCCAGUGUUGGAGGAGGGGACUUGUGGGAGUUGAUUAGAUCAUGUGGGGUGGAUUUCCGCCUUGCUGUUCUUGUGAUAGUGAGUGACUUCUCAUAGAUCUGGUUGUUUGAAAGUGCGUAGCACCUCCCCUUUCUCUCUCUUCCUCCUGCUCCAGCCAUGUUAGACUUGCCUGCUUCCCUUUCACCUCCCACCAUGAUUGAAAGUUUCCUGAGGCCGCCUCCCCAAGCCAUGCAGCCUUGCAGAACUGUACAGCCUUGCAGAACUGUACAGCCUGCAGAACUGUGAGCCAAUUAAAC